UGCUAUCAUCCUUCCCAAAUCACCUUCCUCAAAUUCACUGGCUGCAAAUUAACAUUCCAAAUCACCAGAAUUCUCACCUUCCUCAAGAGGUCUGUUCCAUUCUCACCUAAAUUCUCACCUUCCUCAAAUUAAAUCACCAGCAAACCUCAAAUCACCGUCCCAAAUCCCUCGUUCGCAAAUCACCAGCAAACAUUCCUCAAAUCUCAUUGUUGUUGGUGAUUUACUUUCAUCUCAUCUGCAUUUAAGUUUAUCAAACCCAUGUCCUAAACUCUCAAAUCCCCAAAUCUAUUUGUUAACAAAAAAUCCUCAAAUCUUGAUUGCUAACCCAAAACUCCCAAAUCCCCAAAGUCCCAAACUCCAUUUGUUUCACUCGAAGGAUCUGAAGAACAGAGGAAUAAUUUUGAAGGCAGCAAUUACAGUGUAGAAAAUAUUUUAAAUCGCGAGAAAGUUUAGACUCAAAAGGCAAUCAGCGAGAAAUCAACUUCAGGAUAUCUAUGGAUAAUGGUGAUAAAAGUUGGAUGAAUCUCCUGAGAUGGACGGAUGAGUAUAUCCGUGGAGUGAAUGAUUUUCUUGAUAAGGCAUUUGAACGAGCCGCCCAAGGAAAUGAAAUAUUAUGCCCUUGCAAAAAGUGCAUGAAUCGCUAUUGGUAUUAUAGAAAUGUGGUGGAGGAUCAUUUGGUUGUUCAUGGAUUUGUUGAUGGUUAUACCAAAUGGGUUUUCCAUGGGGAAGGAUUUUCCUCGAGAAAUACACCUCAUUCAAGCAAUGAUGAUGAAGGUUCUACCAUGCGUGACGAUAUUGAUGGACUACUUCAUGAUACAUUUAGCAAUGAUGAUGAAGGUUCUACCAUGCGUGAUGAUAUUUCUCAUUUCUUACACUAACCCAGUUGCACUAAAUUUGUAGGAAAAAUAUGACAUUCCUGACGAAGCGAAACAAUGGGUUUUUGAAUUAGUUUGUAGUGCUUGGAGAAAGUAUAAGAGUCAAUUGAAGAUAACUCAAUUCACAGCUUAUGAGAAUGAUGAGCUUCGAAUGGAGAAUAGGCUAGUAGAUAUUCGGGAAUCUCACUUUAAGGAUCUUCUUAAAUAUUGAAACUCCGAUCCUCACAAGAAAAUGUCCGAAACCAAUGCAGAGAAUUGAAAUAAGUUGAAGUGUCCGCACACUGCUGGCAGAACACCUUUUGCUCUAAUUCGCGAGGAAAAAAAUAAGGAAAUCUCUGAUACUUCAGAUACUCUAUCAAGCUGAAAUGGAGAGAAUACAAUCAACUCAGGAAAGUGAAGAUGGCAGUCAUUCAGUUGACGUUUUUGCUUCAGUCAUGGGACCUAGACAUCCAGGUCGCGUGAGAUUAUGGACGAGGGGUUACCAAGACUUUGUUAAAAGGGCAAAAAGGGAAUCUUGGAUCUUCAUUAGAUGCUGAUGAGAGAAUGCAGCAGAAAAUAGAGGAAAUGGAAGAGAGGAUGCAACAAAGAAUGCAUGAAAAGUUGAACGAACAAAAGGAUGUCAUGGAACAAAAUAUUACAAUGAACGUCAUUGCACGACUUCAGCGUCUGAACUCAGAUUUGCGACUUGAUCCUGACAUGCUAAGGUUCAAUUCACGUUCACUUAUAGAUGCUUCCUCUGUACAACAAGCUGCUAUUCAACUAAACAAUCGACCAUCUGCUGGUAGUAACAAUCAAGUUCUCUUGGUUGUAUGACAGGUUCUUACAUUUCUUUUGUCGAAUAUUGCUGCAAAAUAAGACUUAGGUUCUAAGGUUUUGUUUCCUUCAUACUAGACAACUCUAUUCGUGAGUCCAACGACGACAUCAACAAUUUCUGGGAUUAUGUCAUAGCUAUAAUAAAAGAAGCAGUAUGUUGUAUCUCUUCACUUUGUUUGGCAGAGGAUUCGGAUGAGGAUAUGUCUGAUUGCAUUUAUUUCAUCCCUGUAGAUCUGCUAAAGAGCAGUAAACCUUAUGUUGAAGCCUUGAAAGCUUUACCCUCAGUGCUAAGCUUCAGUUGGGAAUUGGAUGCCUUUGUAAAGGACUUUGUUUGUUAGGCAUGGAAUUGGCAGAUUUGAUUAUUUAGUGUUGUUGUCUUUUGCUUAAUGCUUAGGCUCUUAGCACUUAGUAGUACAUGACACAUGAAUAUGUAUUAAUAGUUGUGUAUAGUUUGUUGAGAAGGGCUUUGCCAGAGACUCUGAAUGAUAAUGUUGUGUAUAGUUUGUUGAGAUGAAUAAGUUGGAUUAAUAAAAGAAGAACGAAAACAGUUAAAUGCUUGA
Nicotiana tabacum (common tobacco) is the source of this 2248-nucleotide non-coding RNA. The record is from RefSeq and is a predicted model, not a curated record. NCBI's taxonomy places the organism in Eukaryota, Viridiplantae, Streptophyta, Magnoliopsida, Solanales, Solanaceae.